RNAcentral lists this ribosomal RNA (429 nucleotides) under Acidobacteriota bacterium. Its description in RNAcentral is "Acidobacteria bacterium partial 16S ribosomal RNA". It matches the Rfam family "Bacterial small subunit ribosomal RNA", at positions 355 to 776 of the family's 1533-position model. The record is from RNAcentral. Lineage: Bacteria; Pseudomonadati; Acidobacteriota.
UGGGGAAUUUUGGACAAUGGGGGAAACCCUGAUCCAGCCAUCCCGCGUGUGCGAUGAAGGCCUUCGGGUUGUAAAGCACUUUUGGCAGGAAAGAAACGUCAUGGGUUAAUACCCCGUGCAACUGACGGUACCUGCAGAAUAAGCACCGGCUAACUACGUGCCAGCAGCCGCGGUAAUACGUAGGGUGCAAGCGUUAAUCGGAAUUACUGGGCGUAAAGCGUGCGCAGGCGGUUCGGAAAGAAAGAGGUGAAAUCCCAGAGCUCAACUUUGGAACUGCAUUUUUAACUACCGGGCUAGAGUGUGUCAGAGGGAGGUGGAAUUCCGCGUGUAGCAGUGAAAUGCGUAGAUAUGCGGAGGAACACCGAUGGCGAAGGCAGCCUCCUGGGAUAACACUGACGCUCAUGCACGAAAGCGUGGGGAGCAAACAGG